Molecule: ribosomal RNA, 702 nt
Filed under: uncultured bacterium
Lineage: Bacteria
Description: bacterial SSU rRNA
Rfam family: Bacterial small subunit ribosomal RNA
Source: RNAcentral
GAGUUUGAUCCUGGCUCAGGACGAACGCUGGCGGCGUGCCUAAUACAUGCAAGUAGAACGCUGAAGACUUUAGCUUGCUAAAGUUGGAAGAGUUGCGAACGGGUGAGUAACGCGUAGGUAACCUGCCUACUAGCGGGGGAUAACUAUUGGAAACGAUAGCUAAUACCGCAUAACAGCAUUUAACCCAUGUUAGAUGCUUGAAAGGAGCAAUUGCUUCACUAGUAGAUGGACCUGCGCUGUAUUAGCUAGUUGGUGAGGUAACGGCUCACCAAGGCGACGAUACAUAGCCGACCUGAGAGGGUGAUCGGCCACACUGGGACUGAGACACGGCCCAGACUCCUACGGGAGGCGGCAGUAGGGAAUCUUCGGCAAUGGGGGCAACCCUGACCGAGCAACGCCGUGUGAGUGAAGAAGGUUUUCGGAUCGUAAAGCUCUGUUGUAAGAGAAGAACGUGUGUGAGAGUGGAAAGUUCACACAGUGACGGUAACUUACCAGAAAGGGACGGCUAACUACGUGCCAGCAGCCGCGGUAAUACGUAGGUCCCGAGCGUUGUCCGGAUUUAUUGGGCGUAAAGCGAGCGCAGGCGGUUUAAUAAGUCUGAAGUUAAAGGCAGUGGCUUAACCAUUGUUCGCUUUGGAAACUGUUAGACUUGAGUGCAGAAGGGGAGAGUGGAAUUCCAUGUGUAGCGGUGAAAUGCGUAGA